UUUUCUAGUUCAACUUAUUUUCUUUUCUAAUGAAAGCUUGAUUGACAUGCUGAUCGAUAUCAAAGGCUGUUGGAAAUAAGUUGUGGGAUGCUAAACAUGAGGUUUAGCGAUGACAUUAGUGAUGCAUGGAAUCUAGUAGGAUGCUUAGAUACACACUUUAAGCUUGUAUUCUUAUUGAAUUGUCGUUUGUAUUUAUGUUGUAUUGUUUCAAAUCCUUGUAAUUGACUUUUUAGAAAUGAAAUGAAAAUUUAUUAUUUAAAUA
Helianthus annuus (common sunflower) is the source of this 262-nucleotide long non-coding RNA. RefSeq lists it as uncharacterized. Lineage: Eukaryota; Viridiplantae; Streptophyta; Magnoliopsida; Asterales; Asteraceae. The transcript has 2 exons. The record is from RefSeq and is a predicted model, not a curated record.